CUGACUGUAGCUUAAUCGGUAGAGCGUUCGGUUGAAGCCCGGAAUGCAGUGGUUCGAAUCCACUCAGUCGGA
Molecule: transfer RNA, 72 nt
Filed under: Bacteroidota bacterium
Lineage: Bacteria; Pseudomonadati; Bacteroidota
Description: Bacteroidetes bacterium (activated sludge metagenome) tRNA-Phe
Rfam family: tRNA
About the family: Transfer RNA (tRNA) molecules are approximately 80 nucleotides in length. Their secondary structure includes four short double-helical elements and three loops (D, anti-codon, and T loops).
Source: RNAcentral